RNAcentral lists this ribosomal RNA (204 nucleotides) under uncultured bacterium. Its description in RNAcentral is "partial 16S ribosomal RNA". It matches the Rfam family "Bacterial small subunit ribosomal RNA", at positions 130 to 334 of the family's 1533-position model. The record is from RNAcentral.
CGCCUCUCCUUGGACAGCCUUCUGAAAGGAAGAUUAAUACAAGAUGGCAUCAUGAGUCCGCAUGUUCACAUGAUUAAAGGUAUUCCGGUAGACGAUGGGGAUGCGUUCCAUUAGAUAGUAGGCGGGGUAACGGCCCACCUAGUCUUCGAUGGAUAGGGGUUCUGAGAGGAAGGUCCCCCACAUUGGAACUGAGACACGGUCCAA